Molecule: ribosomal RNA, 389 nt
Filed under: uncultured bacterium
Lineage: Bacteria
Description: bacterial SSU rRNA
Rfam family: Bacterial small subunit ribosomal RNA
Source: RNAcentral
AUUGAACGCUGGCGGCAUGCCUUACACAUGCAAGUCGAACGGCAGCACGGGAGCAAUCCUGGUGGCGAGUGGCGAACGGGUGAGUAAUAUAUCGGAACGUGCCCAGUCGUGGGGGAUAACGUAGCGAAAGCUACGCUAAUACCGCAUACGAUCUAUGGAUGAAAGCGGGGGAUCGCAAGACCUCGCGCGAUUGGAGCGGCCGAUAUCAGAUUAGGUAGUUGGUGAGGUAAAGGCUCACCAAGCCGACGAUCUGUAGCUGGUCUGAGAGGACGACCAGCCACACUGGGACUGAGACACGGCCCAGACUCCUACGGGAGGCAGCAGUGGGGAAUUUUUGGACAAUGGGCGCAAGCCUGAUCCAGCAAUGCCGCGUGCAGGAUGAAGGCCUC